AACUAUAACGGUCCUAAGGUAGCGAAAUUCCUUGUCGGGUAAGUUCCGACCUGCACGAAUGGCAUAAUGAUGGCCAGGCUGUCUCCACCCGAGACUCAGUGAAAUUGAAAUCGCCGUGAAGAUGCGGUGUACCCGCGGCUAGACGGAAAGACCCCGUGAACCUUUACUAUAGCUUGACACUGAACAUUGAAUUUUGAUGUGUAGGAUAGGUGGGAGACUUAGAAGUAGGAACGCCAGUUUCUAUGGAGUCAUCCUUGAAAUACCACCCUUUAACGUUUGAUGUUCUAACGAAGACUACGGAACGUGGUCUCGGACAGUGUCUGGUGGGUAGUUUGACUGGGGCGGUCUCCUCCCAAAGCGUAACGGAGGAGCACGAAGGUUUGCUAAUCACGGUCGGACAUCGUGAGG
This 408-nucleotide ribosomal RNA is filed under the name Haemophilus influenzae. Its description in RNAcentral is "bacterial LSU rRNA". It matches the Rfam family "Bacterial large subunit ribosomal RNA", at positions 1938 to 2345 of the family's 2925-position model. The record is from RNAcentral. Lineage: Bacteria; Pseudomonadati; Pseudomonadota; Gammaproteobacteria; Pasteurellales; Pasteurellaceae.